UACGUAGGGACCGAGCGUUGUCCGGAAUCAUUGGGCGUAAAGAGCGUGUAGGCGGCCAGAAAAGUCCGCUGUGAAAACUCGAGGCUCAACUUCGAGCUGUCGGUGGAAACUUUCUGGCUAGAGUCCGGAAGAGGAGAAUGGAAUUCCUGGUGUAGCGGUGAAAUGCGCAGAUAUCAGGAAGAACACCCGUGGCGAAGGCGGGUCUCUGGGACGGUACUGACGCUGAGACGCGAAAGCGUGGGGAGCGAACAGG
This 253-nucleotide ribosomal RNA is filed under the name uncultured bacterium. RNAcentral describes it as "partial 16S ribosomal RNA". It matches the Rfam family "Bacterial small subunit ribosomal RNA", at positions 524 to 776 of the family's 1533-position model. The record is from RNAcentral.